UACGUAGGGACCAAGCGUUGUUCGGAUUUACUGGGCGUAAAGGGCGCGUAGGCGGCAUGACAAGUCACUUGUGAAAUCUCUGGGCUUAACCCAGAACGGCCAAGUGAUACUGUCGCGCUAGAGUGCGGAAGGGGCAAUCGGAAUUCUUGGUGUAGCGGUGAAAUGCGUAGAUAUCAAGAGGAACACCUGAGGUGAAGACGGGUUGCUGGGCCGACACUGACGCUGAGUGCGCGAAAGCCAGGGGAGCAAACAGG
Molecule: ribosomal RNA, 254 nt
Filed under: uncultured bacterium
Lineage: Bacteria
Description: partial 16S ribosomal RNA
Rfam family: Bacterial small subunit ribosomal RNA
Source: RNAcentral